GGGCGGUUAGCUCAGUUGGUCAGAGUACUUGCUUGACAUGCAAGGGGUCACUGGUUCAAAUCCAGUACCGCCCA
RNAcentral lists this transfer RNA (74 nucleotides) under bacterium. Its description in RNAcentral is "tRNA-Val". It matches the Rfam family "tRNA". From Rfam's summary of the family: Transfer RNA (tRNA) molecules are approximately 80 nucleotides in length. Their secondary structure includes four short double-helical elements and three loops (D, anti-codon, and T loops). Further hydrogen bonds mediate the characteristic L-shaped molecular structure. tRNAs have two regions of fundamental functional importance: the anti-codon, which is responsible for specific mRNA codon recognition, and the 3' end, to which the tRNAs corresponding amino acid is attached (by aminoacyl-tRNA synthetases). tRNAs cope with the degeneracy of the genetic code in two manners: having more than one tRNA (with a specific anti-codon) for a particular amino acid; and 'wobble' base-pairing, i.e. permitting non-standard base-pairing at the 3rd anti-codon position. The record is from RNAcentral. RNAcentral also lists the same sequence under 1 other name.